Molecule: ribosomal RNA, 251 nt
Filed under: uncultured soil bacterium
Lineage: Bacteria
Description: partial 16S ribosomal RNA
Rfam family: Bacterial small subunit ribosomal RNA
Source: RNAcentral
AGGACGAACGCUGGCGGCGUGCUUAACACAUGCAAGUCAAGGGGGCCCAGCAAUGGGCAACCGGCGAACGGGUGCGUAACACGUGAGCAACCUACCGAAAUGUGGGGGAUAGCCGGCCUAACGGCCGAGUAAUACCGCAUACGCUCUCGAUGAGGCAUUUCAUUGAGAGAAACCUACGGGACAUUUCGAGGGCUCGCGGCCUAUCAGCUAGUUGGCGAGGUAACGGCUCACCAAGGCAACGGACGGGUAGC